UAUGCCAAAGUGGGCGGGGGUCUGCGAUAGCCGUACGCGGGGGCGGAGCUUGGGGAAGGGGCGGGCCGAAUGCAGGCUUCCGGCGGAAGAGCGCAAGAGCAAGAUGGCCACUACGAAGCGAGUGUUGUAUGUAGGUGGACUUGCAGAGGAGGUGGAUGACAAAGUUCUCCAUGCUGCUUUUAUCCCUUUUGGAGACAUCACAGAUAUCCAGAUUCCUCUGGAUUAUGAAACAGAAAAGCACCGAGGAUUUGCUUUUGUUGAAUUUGAGUUGGCAGAGGAUGCUGCAGCAGCUAUUGACAACAUGUUUAAGCAAAUGGAUUUGCACACUUUUCAGAAUGAAUCUGAGCUCUUUGGACGGACAAUUCGUGUCAAUUUGGCAAAACCCAUGAGGAUUAAGGAAGGCUCUUCUAGACCAGUUUGGUCUGAUGAUGACUGGUUGAAGAAGUUUUCUGGGAAGACGCUUGAGGAGAACAAAGAGGAGGAGGGGUCAGAGCCCCCCAAAGUGGAAACGCAGGAGGGAGAGCCCACUGUAAAAAAGGCCCGGUCAAACCCUCAGGUGUACAUGGACAUCAAGAUUGGGAACAAGCCAGCUGGCCGCAUCCAAAUGCUCCUGCGUUCAGACGUUGUGCCCAUGACCGCAGAGAAUUUCCGCUGCCUGUGCACCCACGAGAAGGGCUUUGGCUUCAAGGGCAGCAGUUUCCACCGCAUCAUCCCCCAGUUCAUGUGCCAGGGCGGUGAUUUCACCAACCACAACGGCACCGGGGGCAAGUCCAUCUACGGGAAGAAGUUUGACGAUGAAAACUUUAUCCUCAAACACACGGGACCAGGUGCAGAGGCGGCAUCUGCACUCCUCCCUCCACGCCCAGGACCACCAGCAGGGUCGGGGGAGCUGACGGGCGCUUCUCUCCCCCAGGCCUGCUCUCCAUGGCCAACUCCGGCCCAAACACCAACGGCUCCCAGUUCUUCCUGACGUGUGACAAGACGGAUUGGCUGGACGGCAAGCAUGUAGUGUUUGGGGAGAUCACGGAUGGCCUGGACGUCUUGCGGCAGAUUGAGGCCCUGAGCAAGAGAAAGGGAAAUGGUGGCAUCUCUCCUGCCACUGCACUGCUUGGCUGAGCAAAGAUAACUCUCGGGAUAAAAUACACGGGCCUUGUGUUCAUUCAUUACUGUUCCACCACUCAGGCUUUUUCCUAUUGAUUUCACUUGGUGACCAGAUGGCAGAAGUCGCUGGAAGUCUGACGACCAGGUACAUAAACAAUAACACUGUUUUUCAGUUGUUCUGGAUGAAAAAGCAAGACUGCAGCUCUAUUCCUGCUAAGCACUGCUUGGUUGGGAGGUGAGGUGUACUCAGUAUAUGCCAACCUUUGGGUAACCGGACAGACAUUCCUGGUGUACCCCUAACUAAGCCAAUCACUGGCUGGGCCUAAAAAUACCAAAUUAAAAAUCAGUUGUCAGUUCUUCCAUUUUAAAGGUAGUCAUUGAUAAGAGUUUCUUUGGUAAUUUGUAGCUGGUGAGCUAACAUGUUUUGACUUUCCUAAUGUGCAAUUAAAAAAAUUAUCAAUAAUUUUCAAAUAAAAUUAUCAAAAUAAUUGGCUAAUUUAAGGUUUAUACUUAUUUUUCCCUGGUGGCUCAGAUGGUAAAAAAUCCACCUGCAAUGCAGGAGACCUAGGUUCUAUCCCUGGGUCGGAAGGUUCCCUGGAGAAGGGAAUGGCAGCCCACUCCAGUAUCCUUGCCUGGGAGAAUUCCAUGGACAGAGGACCUGACGGGCUACAGUCCGUGGGGUCACAAGAGCUGAACAUGACUGAACGACUAAGCACAUGCACAAGAGACAAUCUUUGCUGUUGGGAAGAGACAACUCUUAGGUAAGUACUAGAAUAAAAAAUAGGUUCCACAUUAUGUGCCAGUUCUGAUUCAUGAUGGCCACCUGAGCUCCACAUUCAGGGUUACCAGGCUGCCUCUGGGCUCAGUGUGAGAAAGCUUGGCAGACGCAGUUUCCUAGGCUGAAAGCCCUUUGCAGAUCAAAAAGCUUCAUAGUACAGAUGGGAAAUGAGGCCCAGAGGAGGAAGUCACAAAGUCACAUCCCUAACAUGUAGGCUAGAGCCUAGAUCCCUACACUGUUGGGGAGCUCACCACUUUCCUGUGUCCAUGGAGAGCGGCUCUUCCUGUGCACUGGCUCCCAGAGCCCUUCCCAGGUCCAGGUGGAGGGGCUGCUGUCCCGCAGCCCGGCCCCCUCCUCCACCCCUGCUGUGCUCCUGGAGCCCCUCAGGGCACAGUGUGAACUCCAGGGGUGUCAUCCUGGGCUGUGCCCAUGGGUUGGGGCGGGCCCAGGAUCUGUUUUUAAUGAUAUUUUGGGGUUCGGGCAGCUGGGUUCUGUCUGCCCCAGCAGGUAAAUUAUAGGCUUACCAAGUCAGAAAUCAAACACUCCAGCUGCCGGUGGCCGCUCCAAGGAGAACAGUGGUUUCCGGGAACCUCCCCACCCAGCUCGGCCUAAUUGCCACCUGUCACUCCCCUGGGACGGGGCCCUUUUCUUUGGCUCACAGGCCCCAAGAACAGGACGGAACGCCAGGGUACACAGGGUGACGCAUACUUGCGUGACCAGUCUGUUUUUGACAACUUCUGGACACAGGCAGGUGCUAACCAGCCCUGCCCUCGCCCCACGCCUGGCCACAGGCCACCCAGUGUCCCUGGGUGCAGUGAAUUGCUCCUUAGCAGGAGAAGGCAGACAGUUUUCACUCUACAUGCCAACUCUAAUCUGUUGGUGGUGGCCACUUGAGUUUGGUGCUGAUCACUGUGAAAUUCUCUCCAGAGUUUAAC
This is an RNA transcript of Bubalus bubalis (water buffalo), 2814 nucleotides long. It is a transcript of the gene named peptidylprolyl isomerase E, with no coding region annotated. The transcript has 10 exons. NCBI's taxonomy places the organism in Eukaryota, Metazoa, Chordata, Mammalia, Artiodactyla, Bovidae. The record is from RefSeq and is a predicted model, not a curated record.